This 868-nucleotide long non-coding RNA is filed under the name Ananas comosus (pineapple). RNAcentral's name for it is "long non-coding RNA (ACOM_LNC017057)". The record is from RNAcentral. Lineage: Eukaryota; Viridiplantae; Streptophyta; Magnoliopsida; Poales; Bromeliaceae.
UAAAAAUAUCCAAUUACAGAUAUAUUUCUACGAAGUUCAACUUUUCAUAUUUAUUUCUGAAAAAGUCCUUACGUUUUCGAAUAUACCCCUACUGCUAUGAUUUGUUUGAAAAAUAUAAUUAGCAAAAAAUAAAAUACUUUUUUGAGAGAGAAAUGUAGCACGUUACCUACUUCAUUAAUUAGGUAAAUGAACUUAGCUACAUAGGGUGAGACGGUUAGGGUCUCAAGGAAGACGACAAAACAAAAGAAAAAGGAACAAAAAACUGAGCAUAAAAAAAGCGAAAACAUGCGUCGGAACCAAAAGGUGUAACAAAAGCAACAUCACCCGACUCUACAAAAAUCAGUCCACUCCUUCGUCAGAACUCUAAUGCGAUGAGCACUAGGGAAAACAUUCAGGGGUAGGUUUCGAAAAAUAACGUUAUUACUUUCGCACCAAAUCAUCCACCAGAUGGCCGCCACAAAGGAUUUGAGGCUUCAAAGUGUCAGUCUGUGAUUCCCUCCUUGUCAGCUCUUUCCAGACGAACUUGGCGUCCUCAAUAGGUAAAAUACUUAAUUCUAGUUAGUGAAUGAUGUAAGUUGACUUUUUUACCUUUCUAAUAUUAUUUGUGAUGACAAAAAAUAAAAAGAUAAUUACCAUUAAAGAUUGUUGGGAAGAUAUUUCUGUAUAAUUAUAACAGUUGGCGAGUCUUAAAGUAACAUCUUUGUGAUAAUAAAAAUAUCAUUUUAUUUAUUAUCUUUUAAAAAAUAUACAGCAUUCUAAUGGUAAUAAAUCAGAACGACAAAUAUUAAUAUCACUGAAUUUUUUACAUGCAUAUAUAUAAAAAAUUAAAUUUUGCAAAGGAUAUAUUUGAUAUUCGAUAUAUUUAUUG